This 254-nucleotide ribosomal RNA is filed under the name uncultured bacterium. RNAcentral describes it as "partial 16S ribosomal RNA". It matches the Rfam family "Bacterial small subunit ribosomal RNA", at positions 524 to 776 of the family's 1533-position model. The record is from RNAcentral.
UACGUAGGGGGCAAGCGUUGUCCGGAUUUAUUGGGCGUAAAGAGCGUGUAGGCGGUUUGGUAGGUCCGUUGUGAAAACUCGAGGCUCAACCUCGAGACGCCGAUGGAAACCAUCAGACUAGAGUCCGGAAGAGGAGAGUGGAAUUCCGUGGUGUAGCGGUGAAAUGCGCAGAUAUCAGGAAGAACACCCGUGGCUAAGGCGGCUCUCUAGUACGGUACUGACGCUGAGACGCGAAAGCGUGGGGAGCGAACAGG